This is a long non-coding RNA of Vespa velutina, 1093 nucleotides long. RefSeq lists it as uncharacterized. The transcript has 2 exons. The record is from RefSeq and is a predicted model, not a curated record. NCBI's taxonomy places the organism in Eukaryota, Metazoa, Arthropoda, Insecta, Hymenoptera, Vespidae.
UUCUGUUUUUCGAUGAGCAUUCGUAGACCAAUUUGUGUACAUAUAUGUAUGCAGAAUCUGCAAUGAAGUAUCAUACGUGUGUGUACGCGUUACGAGUCUGUGUCUAUCUAACUAUCUAUCUAUCUAUCUGUUCGUCAGUUCGUUCGUUCGUUUGUUUGUCCAUUCGUCCGUCCAUCUGUACGCAGGUCCGCGACUGUCUUAUAUGCAAUUGUAUCUCAAUGAUGCAUGCAAUCUCAAUGAUGCAUACAUAGGCGUCUCGAGGGGAAGUAAGUCGUAUAGUAGAGGCGUAGAUCGGUUAUGUGGACGCGCGCGCGCCUUCCUUUCUCGGUGUCAAGUUAAGUCGAAGUGGAGAGAACGAUGACUGCAGUAUGGUAGUAGUUGUUGCUGCUGUUACUUCUUCGUCGUGCAUCGCGCGGCAGGCUUGCGGCAGUUGCGGCACGGCUCGUGCGGCAUGGCGCAUUCCAUUCGCUGUUCAUUUAAAAUAAUCAAUUGUAUUGUUUGUUAUUAAUAUUAGAUAUUUUGUGUUGGGUCCCAGAGGUUACUGAAACAAAAAAUCAACAAAUACGUUCACCAUCAACGAUUACAACUACGAUGAUGAUCGGCAAAAGGUUUACACCGAUCAAGAGCUGGAAAAAAUAUGUACAUAUACGACUCGUAUGAAGAUAAUGAAAGUAAAUAGUUAAAUGCUCGUUGCGACGGUGGGAUAAUACUGAACGUUGAUAAUUUUUAUUAUAAAGACAACACACUCUGGUAUUUCUUCCACAAAAUAAAUCAUGCACAUUAAAAGAGAACUGCGAUAAAGUGAAAAAAGGAGACAAAAGGCAAUGUGGGAAUCUCGCUUCGAAGAACAAAAUAUUUAUCAUUUCUCCGAAGAGUGCGAAGGUUGUGCACACACAUAUGUAUCGUAUCUCCAUAAAAGCGAAUGCACAAGUAUAUUCGUGAUUAGUCAUCGCGGCGAGCUAAUAUCGAGCUAAAAGCAGUCAAGGAAAGUUAAGACCGUGACUCACUCCUGCUACAGCUUACGCUUAUGCACCGUGGUCAUUAAAAACGAAAAUCGACUCCCAAUUUGAAGAAAUCACUUAUAUCUUGAAAA